CCUACGGGGGGGAGCAGUGAGGAAUAUUGGUCAAUGGACGAGAGUCUGAACCAGCCAAGUAGCGUGAAGGAUGACUGCCCUAUGGGUUGUAAACUUCUUUUAUAUGGGAAUAAAAUGUUCCACGUGUGGGAUUUUGUAUGUACCAUAUGAAUAAGGAUCGGCUAACUCCGUGCCAGCAGCCGCGGUAAUACGGAGGAUCCGAGCGUUAUCCGGAUUUAUUGGGUUUAAAGGGAGCGUAGGUGGAUUGUUAAGUCAGUUGUGAAAGUUUGCGGCUCAACCGUAAAAUUGCAGUUGAAACUGGCAGUCUUGAGUACAGUAGAGGUGGGCGGAAUUCGUGGUGUAGCGGUGAAAUGCUUAGAUAUCACGAAGAACUCCGAUUGCGAAGGCAGUUCACUGGACUGCAACUGACACUGAGGCUCGAAAGUGUGGGUAUCAAACAGGAUUAGAUACCCUAGUC
This 457-nucleotide ribosomal RNA is filed under the name uncultured bacterium. RNAcentral's name for it is "partial 16S ribosomal RNA". It matches the Rfam family "Bacterial small subunit ribosomal RNA", at positions 338 to 792 of the family's 1533-position model. The record is from RNAcentral.